GUCACAGCCCUGCCGGGCCGGGCUGCCCGCGGCCCCCCCCGCCCGCCUUCCUCCGGCCCCCACAGUGGCUGGGGGCGUCUGAGCCGGCUCUUUGGCCCUCCGGGGAGCUGCGAGAAAAAGGCAUUGGACUUCAACCGUGUCGGGUUACUGCACACGUGGCAGUAAAGCUUCCAAGGACAACGCAUUCCACCCACCUACACCUUGUUUGAGUGCAUACACACUUAUGCUUGUGUUCAACUAAGGCAGCAUUUCUCUUUGUGACUUGUCUACAAAAAGAUGAAGCUGAACCAGCUACUGGAAUGUAUAUGCACUGGGCCUGCCAAAAGAAAUAUAUUCCCACAGUUGAGUGGGGAAAAAAAAACUCAGCACGACAUUGCUCUGACUGAAUCCUAAAUGUUACUGUUUUCAAUACUCAAACAAACAAGUAGAAACUUAGACUGUGCAGGGAACAGUUUGCAAAACAAGCCAGCCUAUGCAUCUGAGAAUAAAACUGCAGUUACAACAAAAAUAGGAGGCCACAAAGAAACCAUCUCUCAUUGCUGAUAUCACCACAAAUCGAACUUCAUUCUUACAAGAUCCAUCGAGAUACUGCUGACCAGGACAACCCAGUCUAAUUUGGAUCUGCACAUGUUCUUGCCUGGCUACUUAAUGGAGGCUGCACUGGUGUGAUUAACAGAACUCAGGUGGGGAACAAGUGGCUUUGGGCUGCUUACAUCGAAGAGCAGCCAUCGGUACCCUGAGACAGGAGUCACUGGUGUAUCUCUGGAAUGCAGUCACUCUCCUCUUCCUUCUUGGUCUCUGAAUAUGCUUGCAUUUUAAGCCAGUCUGGGCAGAACUUUACAGCUUUUUUUUUGGCAGCAUGUGAAAGAGCUUGUUGUCAAGCCUUUAGCUUCAGAUUGGUCAGCACAAUUUUCUGAAAAUUUUUACAGUGUUCAGUCUUUAUUCUGUGCUAAGUAUGAGCUGACUGCAGAGGACUAUGUUGAACUUACAGCAACUGCACUUCAGCUGUCAUGUUCCAGAUGGAACUUCAAAUGUUUACAGAUGAGACAAGUCUUCCACAGUUCAGUGCAUGAAUACCAUAAAUUUGGCCCUCUCCCACCACAGUGAAGGAAAUCAAUUGGUAGCUCUGGAGCAAGUUGAGUGCCCAUGAUAUGCUGCAGCUAUUCAUUAAGCAAGACUUUUAAAGUCAUGUGCAAAAUAUUGAAGAACAUUAGCAAAGACCUCUAAGAACAAAAGGGUAUAACUACUGAUGGUAAUUUACAGCUUUGACAUAUGUAAAACACGCUCAAGUAGCGUAUUUUCUGCUAGAUUGUGUGAAGAAACAAUGUACUCCAUCAAGUACUAGCAUUGGGUAUAUUAAGUCUGGAAUGAAGAACUCAUAAUAAUUUUACAUAUAUGCAAUUCAAAUAGAACAUAAAGCAAAUAAAGUUACAAACAUUGAAUUAACAUACUGUGCUGGUUUGGCUGGGAUGGAGUUAAUAUUCUUCAUAGUAGCUAUUACAGGGCUGUUUUCAAUUUGUGCUCAAAAUAGUGCUAAGAUAGUGCUGUUUUCAUUAUUGCUGAGCCGUGCUAACACACCAUCAAGGCCUUUUCUCCUUCUGACCCCACCCCACCAGUGAGGGGACUGUGGAUGCAUAAGGACUGGGGAGAGGACCCGUCCAAGACAGCUGAUCCCAAGGUGGGGUGAGCACAUAAAGCUGGAGGGAGAAGGGGGGAUAUUUGGAGUAGUCACAUUUGUCUUCCAUAGUAACUUAAUGGGAUGGAGCCCUGCUUUCCUGAAGGUAUCUGAGUAUCUGCCUGCCAAUGGGAAGUGGUGAAUGAAUUCCUUGUUUUGCUAUAGUUGUCUGCAUGGC
This is a long non-coding RNA of Vidua chalybeata, 1853 nucleotides long. RefSeq lists it as uncharacterized. The transcript has 4 exons. NCBI's taxonomy places the organism in Eukaryota, Metazoa, Chordata, Aves, Passeriformes, Viduidae. The record is from RefSeq and is a predicted model, not a curated record.